This 360-nucleotide ribosomal RNA is filed under the name uncultured Streptococcus sp. RNAcentral's name for it is "bacterial SSU rRNA". It matches the Rfam family "Bacterial small subunit ribosomal RNA", at positions 355 to 706 of the family's 1533-position model. The record is from RNAcentral. Lineage: Bacteria; Bacillati; Bacillota; Bacilli; Lactobacillales; Streptococcaceae.
UAGGGAAUCUUCGGCAAUGGGGGGCAACCCUGACCGAGCAACGCCGCGUGAGUGAAGAAGGUUUUCGGAUCGUAAAGCUCUGUUGUAAGAGAAGAAUGUGUGUGAGAGUGGAAAGUUCACACAGUGACGGUAACUUACCAGAAAGGGACGGCUAACUACGUGCCAGCAGCCGCGGUAAUACGUAGGUCCCGAGCGUUGUCCGGAUUUAUUGGGCGUAAAGCGAGCGCAGGCGGUUUAAUAAGUCUGAAGUUAAAGGCAGUGGCUUAACCAUUGUUCGCUUUGGAAACUGUUAAACUUGAGUGCAGAAGGGGAGAGUGGAAUUCCAUGUGUAGCGGUGAAAUGCGUAGAUAUAUGGAGGAA